AUAAACGAUAAAAAUAUCCUUGUGUUAUAGUCUCUUUACUCAUUGUCAAUUGGGAAAAAUCCUCCUCUUUUUUUCUUCCUCCAGAGUUUCUCCCUUUCUCUUCUCUUCAUCUCUCUUCUCAUAUAGAUUUAAGGGUUUCUACUUUGCUCUUUUGUUCACUUCAUCACAUUUAUGGGGUCUGUCAUCAGUUCUGUCAUGGUGCUGGAGCCGUCAACUUGCGUCCUUGUCUUGGUGGUGAAUCUACAGUCAGGAAUCAACCUGUCACGGUCAAAUAACGUUGCUCGAAGAAAUUUGUCCGUUUCAUCACUUUAACUGGAUGUGGAGGCAUUUAGUCUUGGAUUUAAGUGUAAGAGUCCCCUUAAAAUGCUCUCGAUAUUGAAUCCAAGGUCAGGGAGUGGUCGUUCUUGUAAUGUUUUCUGUCAGAUUAUACAACCAAACAUUCGUGUAAGAGUCCCUUUAAAAUGCUCGUGAGAUUGAAUCCAAGGCCAGGGAGUGGUUGUUCUUGUAAUGUUUUCCAUGGGAUUAUACAACCAAAAUUAGGAACCUGGUUGUAACAUUUGAUGGUGAUGGAGCAGUAAUUGUUUACCUGAUGGGCUUUAGUACUUGACAAUUUUAUUUCAAUUAAUAGUUCAGAGCUAGAGAGCACGACAGGGUGGGAAGAGCAGUUAAGAAGAAAUUUGUCCGUUUCAUCACUUUAACUGGAUGUGGAGGCAUUUAAUCUUGGAUUUAAGGGGCCUAAGUCACUUUUCCGUGAGUUGGACAUAAAAGCUCCAUUAAGACAACAAUUAUCCAAUAUAGUUAUUCUGGAGUACCCUAUAAUUUAUGUUUUUCUCCCUUCACAGAGCUAUGAUUUUGUGGUUGAUUCAUAGUCUCACUAGUAGGUCUAUGCUUAGAGAUCCUGUGAGCAAUGACCCUUAAAGUGCAAGUAUUCUGUUCAGGGAAAAGGAAAUAAAAGGUGUUAUCUCUACAAAUCCUCAAGUCUGUGAUAUUAUGAGGCAUGUAAAUCAAGUUCCAUUGCCUGGAAUCCCUAAUGAAACCAAUAUGACUGAGCAGGAAUUGAACAACUUGGAUACACCUUCAUUGACAAGAGUGGCAGCUGACAUCAUAUUAUAUACAAACUCAGAGGUGGAGGAACAAGGAAUGCUAAAAGAUAUGGAGUUUGAUUUUGAUCAAGGCUUAAUAGAUGCAUACAUGGAUCUUAUCGCUGAAAUUAAUCCUGAUGACUUUCUUGGUUUGGAUGAUAUAUUUGCUAAGGAAGCGUGUGGGCAAGAAACAGGAGAUCUUUGAGCAUUCAAAGAGGGAUUAUUUAAGGGAAGAGGAAUUGGAGGAAGGAGAGAUUGCAGAAUGGUUGAUAAUCGUUGUUUUCCUUCAAAAGAAUUUGACCAAAAAAAUAAAGUAUGAAAGAAGGAUCUCCAAAAUGUUUUCGCUUACUUUUCUUGAUCAUAGAGAUUUGAUGCCUCAGGCUCCCACUAGAGGUCAUGAAGUAAAAUCAAAUAUACUGUUGGCAUGAAAUAUAGGGAAAAAAAAAUUUAAAUGCUUACCUUAAGUAUUGAGCGCCAGAAGGCUAUCACAUAUGAAUAUAUAUAUCAACUGUAAUCCGACGGCGAAGUUUAACUGACUAUCAGCUCAAGCCUCAAGGCCAUGGUUUUUUAAUCAAAUAUAUUGUUUUCAUUAUUUAUAGAAUUAUUCAUGAUUCUAGUAAUGAAAAGCUACUGUAAAUUCAUUUUCAGAUUACGUUUCAAAAUUUUUUUAGUCACCUUUUCUCAUUCUCUUCCUCAUUCCAUACAAAGAGAACUUUGCAGCCCCAAAUGUCUUGUUUAGCACAUUAUUAACAUUUUCAGUGCCGAUAUAUAGUAUGAAUAUGGUCGUUCAACAUCAAAGCCAAUACAAGUUGGAUGCUUUCGUUGAUUGCAUUUGACGGUGCAUAUGAUAUUGGGUUGCCACUCUUAGCACUUAUUAACGUUAUCGUUAAGGAAUCAGGAUGGAUAAAGUGAAGAGUAUUUCAUCUGAAAGGAGGUUGAGCCUAGUCCACUGUCAAUAACAUACUUUGAAUAUAUAGUAUGUCACUGUUUUUCUUUUGUAUUUGUAACUCCAAACAUGUAAGUGACAAUUUAAGAGUUCAUAAAAUAUUUAAUCAGUUUUAUUUUAUCAUUAUCAAGUGAUGUGAGAUAAAAUUUUUCAUUUAUUUUGUUGAUAUAGGAUUUAUCUAUAGCUGUUACAAUUAAGCAUGAUUUGUUCAUAAUUUUGUAUCCUAUUUAUUGAGUAACUUUUUACUCACUCUUUUACUUCUUAUAUGUACAGAUACAAAUGAUCACAAUGGCUACAAUGCGAAUAGUGGUCAUCGAGAGUGGACACUGCAUGAAGGUGUUUCAAUCAAUUUUUUAUUAUACUUUAGUUAAUGUAUCAAACUUAUUUUCAAUGUAUUUAGCUACUCAUUAUAUUUUUAUUGUGAUUGAUGGUUAUAUUUCACAUU
This is a long non-coding RNA of Mangifera indica (mango), 2473 nucleotides long. RefSeq lists it as uncharacterized. The record is from RefSeq and is a predicted model, not a curated record. Lineage: Eukaryota; Viridiplantae; Streptophyta; Magnoliopsida; Sapindales; Anacardiaceae. The transcript has 8 exons.